GCUGCGCCCGCGGGGGCCGGGCUCGUACCUCUCGCACUUGGUGAACUUGCGGAAGGCCUGGCGCAGGUCGUGGAAGGAGCGGCGCUGCUCCAGCUCGCGGAUCCUCUCCUCCUUCAGUAGCAGCAGCUUGGCGAAGUCGCCCUCCAGCUCGCUCAUGGUGCCGGGCUGCUCGUGUGUGUGGAAUAGCAGCCUAGCUGGUUGCACCGGAAAGGCCUGAUCACCAGCGCUGCAACUUGGAUGCCCUCAGACACCAGAAUACGAAGCUUCAGAGGCAAGGCUGGAAUUGGUGUGCCCUCACCAGCCAAAAGACAACCAACACAAAGGUGUUAAGUGCAAAAUGCUACUGAUGACUUCAGCUGCCUGCUGACCACCUCCAAUGGUACUGCAACCUCAACCAAGCAGCUGCCGGUUUUAAGAUAAAGCAUCUUGCCCCUGAAGCAGAGAAGAGCAAGCAGAGGAAGGAAGAGGAGAGAAAUCCUGGCCAACGGCCUAACCUCCUUUGCAAAAAGAACUGCAACUUCUGCAGACAGGUCUGUGGCUCAAGGAUUGGAUUCUUAAGUCACUUCAAGACCCAUCAAUAG
Molecule: long non-coding RNA, 581 nt
Organism: Gavialis gangeticus (Gharial)
Lineage: Eukaryota; Metazoa; Chordata; Crocodylia; Gavialidae
Exons: 3
Source: RefSeq, a predicted model, not a curated record